CCAGCACUUUGGGAGGCAAGGUGGGCAGAUCACUUGAGGUACGGAGUUUGAGACCAGCCUGGCCAACGGUAAAACCCUGUCUCUACAAAAAAUUUAGCUGGCUAUGGUGGCAGGCACCUGUAAUCCCAGCUAUUCAGGAGGCUGAGGCAGGAUAAUUGUUUGAACCUGGGAGGCAGAGGUUGCAGUGAGCUGAGACAGCGCCACUGCACUCCAGCUUCGGUGACAGAUUGAAACUCGGUCUCAAAAAAAAAAAAAAAAAGUUUAAUUGACUCACAUGGCUGGGGAGGCCUCAGGAAACUUACAAUAAUGGCAGAAGGUGAAGGGGAAGCAAGGCACAUCUUACAUGGCAGCAGAAGAGAAAGGGAGAGCAAAGAGGAAGAGCCACACACUUAUCAAACAACCAGAUCUCCUGAGAAUUCGAUCACGAGAAUAGCAAGGGGGAAGUCCGCCCCCAUGAUUCAGUCACCUCCCACCAGGCCAUUCCCCCAACAUGUGGGGAUUACAAUUUGAGACAAGAUUUGGGUGGGGACACAGAGCCAAACCAUAUCAGGCAUGCAAUCUUGUGAGACGUGAGACACAGAGAGAAAUAGCACUGAAUUUAUCCUUGUAUCAGGAGCCUACCCCUGUGAUAACUAACUCAUUCCCAUGAUAAUGGCAUUAAUCCACUCAUGAGGACAGAACUUUCAUGACUUAAUCACCUCGUAAAGGCCUCAUCUCUUAAUAUUGUUACAAUGGCAAUUAAAUUUCAACAUGAGUUGGAGGGGAUGUUCAAACCAUAGCACUCUCAAUAAAAAAUUAUACAAUAGGCAGGGCGAGGUAGUUCCCUCCUAUAAUCCCAGCACUUUGGGAAGCCAAGGUGGGCGGAUUACCUGAGGCAAGGAGUUCGAGACCAGCCCAGCCAACAUGGCAGAACACUGUCUCUACUAAAAAUACAAAAAUUAGCUGGGCAUAGUGACACACACCUCUAAUCCCAGCUACUCGAGAGGCUGAGGCACAAGAAUCCCUUGAACCUGGGAGGCAGAGGUUGCAGUGGGUUGCGAUUGUGUCUCUGCACUCCAGCCUCAGUGACAGAGGGAGACUCUGUCUCAAAAAAAAAAAAAUUAAAAAUUAAAAAAAUAUAUGUAUAUAUACAAGGUAGAUAUUGAAUAUCUGCAUGCAAAAGAAUGAAUUUGGAUCCCUAUAUCACAAUACAUAUAAAAGUUAACUCAAAUUGAAUCAUAGAACUAAAAGUUAGGACUCUUAGAAUCUUUAUAACUUUGAAUUAAGCAAUGCUUUCUUAGAUAUGACACCAAAAGCACAAGCAACAAAAGAAAAAAAUACAGAAACUGAACACCAUCAAAAUUGAAACCUCUUGCGCUUCAUAUGACAUUAUUCUUUAAUUUUUUUCUUUUUCUUUCCAAAUACCCAGACGUCAGGGAGAUUCACAGGACAUUAUUAAGAAAAAGAGAAGAUAAAAAAGAAAAGGAGAAGAUAACCCACAGAGCAGGUAAAAAUCUUUGCUAAUCAUAUAUCUGGGAAGGGAUUUGUACCUAGACUGUAUAAAGAACUAUUGCAACUCAAUGAUAAAAAAGACAAAUAAUCCAAUUUAAAAAUGGAAUUAGGCUGGGCACGGUGGCUCACGCCUGUAAUCCCAGCACUUUGGGAGGCUGAGGCAGGGGGAUUGCUUGAGCCUGGAAGUUUCAGAGACCAGCCUGGGCAACAAAAUGGAACUCAAAAAGUAAAAAUCUUGGCUUGUUUGAAAACACACACACACACACACACACACACACACACACACACACACAGCCAAAACAAAUGUGUUUCCCAUCUCGGGCUUGGGCACUGGGUCACAAGCUUGGACAGUGAAGCUACUUCUAAACCCAGCACAGGGUACAGUGGAUGCAGGACAUGGGAUAAACUCCUGUUAGAUUAAGCCCGUCCCUCUGCUUCUGAGGUCUGGCCUGCCUCGCUGUUCUGGUCAGAACCUGUUUUAUGCAAUUGGAGAGGAGAGGGGUCCCAGGAGUAUUAGCCCUAAUGUGAGAAAUUAGAUUACAGGUCUCUGAAAGGGAUUCUGCAAACCAAUCCUCCUUCCAAGCCUACUCUACCCAUACCUAAUAUUCUUAAGCAGUUAUGAAUUUUGCAGAGGUCUACAACACUUGACACUCACUCAAGGCAACUGUGAGGAAACUGAGGCUUAAAGGCCACUAGUAAGCAGUGUAAAAAGGACCUGAUCAUGACAAUUAUUCUUUGAGUGCCUACCAUGCAUGUGCUGGGCUCAGGCCCUUCACUCAAACCCUGGCUCGUACUCUCUGAAGGGUCCUGGGUGAGGAAGAUGUCAAGAACCCCAUACCUCAUCACUGACUCCCUGCCGGGGGCAUGUGCUGCUCCCAGCCUGAGAUGAGUGCUGUUCAUUACACGUCAUCUCCAUGAAGCCUCCCGCAUUUGCUCCAGGAAAGGCCCGUUCGCCACCCUGGCGUCAUUCACUCUGUGUUGCUGAUAUUGAGUCUGUUUCCUUCAAGGGGAAACAGGCUACCCAAGGACUGGGGCUGCUGCCUUCAUUUCUGUAACCUCCGGGGGGAGCUCUUGUGUGAGCCGCAUGAUGGAUGCUUGCUAACAGCUCUAGGCAGGAGGCAGAGGGAAACUGAGGUCUGCCGAGUCAUCCCUGGCCCAGGUACUUCAUGCGUGUGCAGUGUUGCUGUGGAAUCUUUACCACAACCUCCCAUCCCUGUUUUACAGAUGAAGAAACAGGCUCAGAAGAGGCAGACGUGUCUAAGAUCACACAAGCCUUGACACCAUGAGCUAGAAGCUGAGGGUGAGGUCACUUCACAUCCCUUCCCUUUAGGUUCUACUCUAUGUGGGUAGCGUCCUCGACACAGAAAGCCUGAUAAAAGAUGGCAAAAUUACCGGGCGUGGUGGCUCAUGCCUGUAAUCCUAGCACUUUGGGGGGCUGAGGCGGAUGGAUCACUUGAGGUCAGGAGUUCGAGACCAGCCUGACCAACUAGAGGCUGGUCUUUAGUAGAGGGUUGGUGAAACCCUCUACUAAAAAUACAAACACUGGCUGGCAUCGUGGCGCAAGCCUGUGGUCCCAGCUACUCGGGAGGCUGAGGCAGGAGAAUCACUUUAACCCAGGAGGCGGAGGUUGCAGUGAGCUGAGAUCGUG
RNAcentral lists this long non-coding RNA (3139 nucleotides) under Homo sapiens (human). RNAcentral's name for it is "HSALNT0385375". Lineage: Eukaryota; Metazoa; Chordata; Mammalia; Primates; Hominidae. The record is from RNAcentral.